This 9138-nucleotide long non-coding RNA is filed under the name Homo sapiens (human). RNAcentral's name for it is "HSALNT0323513". Lineage: Eukaryota; Metazoa; Chordata; Mammalia; Primates; Hominidae. The record is from RNAcentral.
CAGUUGAGGUACAUGUACUUAAAAUCCCUCCUGGAAUACACCCAAAUUACAAAAGAAAACAAAGUUACCUACUAAAAAUUAGAAGGAGUGAGCAAGAGAAGCUUAGGUAGUUAUCCAUUUUUUUAAUUCGAUUUUAUGUAAUUAACAUUGUUCCAAAUGUUGUAUGAUACCAUUUAUAUCCUAAUAGUGUUAAUAGAUUAUAAAGUUCAUGAUACGACUGAGAGCAGAAUUAUUCAAGGAAUGGGCAGAGAACUGGGAAGGAAACUGAGAAGAGGUAGCCAAAGAAGUAGGGGAAAAUUAGGAGAGUGUCAUCAUGGAAGUUAAAGGAAGAGUAUUUCAAGAGAAUGGAGGUGAAUGGAAGGCUGCUAAUGACAGCAGUGCUGGGAGAACAACACGUGCACACCCUGAUAUGAAGGUAUAUGUUAUCACUCUUAGGUGCAGUCAGGUUUGUUAGAAAUAGAAAAUCCUCACAAAUUAGUGAUAAGACCAAUUCGUCAAUUAAAAUCAUUAUUUGUAAUAAUCUAGCCUUUAUGCAGCUUCUCAAAUAUAGCUAUUUUAAAAAUAAUAAACACAUUCAUAUAAUAAAUCCAUUCAGAAUCAGACACCAUUUUGUAUAAAAGUGUAAACAAUGAACCUGCAAUUAUUUUAUGGAAUAAGAUAACUUUAGGGCAGUUUAGCAGUAUUUCAUUUAACAUUCUUUGAAAUUUGAGCAGACCUGUGGUCUAUGGAAGCUGUUUCUUUUACACUGCAAACAGGGAAAUUUAUAGGUGUUAAAUUUGCUAUAAAAUUGUUCCUUUAUUGCUCCUUUACUAAUAAAACAUUAAAAAUUACAUAUUUGGAAAUCUAAAUAAAAGCAUUUUCAAACUGAAAUAAUAAAUACAACACAGUAUUAGAUAACUAAAACUUGCUCCCUUUAUGUGUAUACAUAUCAGAUAGGACACAUGAAAUGCCAGGAAAUAGGCAAUGAUGAUAUUUUCUCUGGAUAUUUAAUCUCUAAACACAUGAAAUAUAUUACAUACAGUAUAAUCCUGAUGAAAUAUAACUUGUUAUUCCAGAGGAUUGGGUUGGACCAACCCAGAAUGGGGGUCGGGGUUACAACCAUCUCAAACCACAUCAGCUGAAUCACCAUCCCCCUAGUUCCACAUUGCUCAAUCUGAGGAUAAAUUGCAACAUAUUUAGCAACCUAUGCACCAGUCCCAAGUCCCAAAACCACUCAUGCAGUGGCCACUGCAUGAUGUCAUUUGGUGGCAUGUGGUCUAACUUAAGCUACUUACCAACCAUCAGGGCAGAAUUUCCAGUUUCUACCUGCAGUAACAUCAUGCCUGUGUGUAUUGGCUGAAUAUAAGCCAUGGCCCCGUCUCUUCUGAGUAGUUCCGCAAAUCUCAAGGCCAUCUCUCACAUUUAUGUUAGAACAAGGCCAUGAAUGCUGUUUUCUUCUAUCUCAUGAUCCCUACCAUUUCUUCUUCUGUUUCUCACCUCAAUAAAAUGGCUCCCAUGUUGAUGCCUUGAUUCCCGGAAGGAGCUACUGUUUUGCUUUGCCUCUUAACAUCGCUCAGGAAGGUGAGAACGUGUGGAGACAAAAUAAAUAAAACACAUUACAAGCUCAUUCCACAGAUGAACAGAACAAUUGGUGCUGAACAAGUCUACAGGAGGCAUCUUCCAGCCUCCAGGAAAGCUGUAGGAGCUUGUCAUGCAUGCAUUAAAGUGCCCCCAGAACUCGAAAACCAUUCCAUCAGAGGAGCUAAUAAGAACCAACGAGUCAUUGACAACAGCAACCAUCAGUAACCCUCUCUGAGAGCUGGUAAUGAACAGCAACAAAUAUUGGGGAUAGUUAAGAUGAGCCAGGUAAAGGUUCAGGAAAAUGACUGAAUAGAUUACAGGCAGCAGGAACUGUGAUCCAUCUGAAGAAAAAGGGGAAUCAUGUGAGUGGAUGUGUGGCAGCUAGAAAAUCUGCACAUAUUGAGGGUGUGAAUAGUUGACAUCGUGCACUCCUUGGUGGGCACUGCGUGCUUGCUUGCUAUAGGACACUUGUUCACUGGUAUUUUGGUAACCAGUAGUUUUUGCCUGUCUCCAGAAUAAGAGGGAAGCAGCAGUGACCCAACUCUGGAAAUUAUCUACCAGGCUCACAUCCCAUAUAUUGCCCUAUAUCCCUUGAAAACAGCAAAUUUAUAUGCACAAUAAAAGCGUUAAUAUUGCAUGUUAAUUUCUUCUUCCCCCAAAUUGGAGAGUUGGCAGAAGGACUAAUAAAGAUGACUAGUGUGAAUAGUCUCUCAAAAUAGUCAUUUCAUAAAUUAAAUAGGAGAUGCAUUCACUGCAGCUGAGAUUUAUGAAAGUUCUGUGAGGUGGCAAAACAGGGUUUGCAAUUCAGGAUUUUAUUGCCCUUAGGGGCUGUGGCUAAUCUGUUGUGAAGUGAGGUUUCAGUUGGUUUGUUGGGGGGGGGUUGAUUUGUUGCAUUUUUUUAUGUUUAUGUUCAGUGUUUUAUAUUCAUUACAGGCAUCCAUCUCCUGGGUCUGAAAAGUAAAUAGAAUGUGGUCCCUGUCACAAGACACUGAAAGGUGGGCCUGGAUGGAGAGCUAGGACGAGGGGAUGUUAAUUCUGGUCCUGCUCUGAAAAUUAGCCAUUCCCUUUGAUUAUAUAUGAUAAAUCAUUACAUAAUUCCUACCUUUUCUACUUCACAACAUGUCAUGAGAUAAAUGUAAGAUGCCAUAUUUGAAAGGAUAAAUGCAGGGGUAGAUUCUCUUACGGGAUGAUGUAGAAAGAGAAUAUGCCAGCUUUUCAAAAAUAUCUUUAGUAUGGGGCAGCACUUAGAGCUUUAGUUGGCUGUCAGACACAUAAUAUAUAAAUUGCAAGCAUGAUCAUCACACAGAAUGUAAAGAUGCCAAGUGUGCAUGAACAAAUUAGAGGUUUCUUAGUCAAAUCCAAGCAAAUAUGUACCUGAUAAUGGCUUUGGCUGAAACAUAUUUUUAUAUUUUAUAGCAUGUUCACAUUUGCCAGUGGUUAGCAAAGAUUAAGCUUGCCAAACUUUAAUGUGGUACAAAUGCCAUGUUCAAGGCAAAGAGACAAACUUUUGUGCUUGGCCUGAUCUACUAGGAAAAGAGGAAGCAAAGGAAAAUCCUGAGGAUAUUAGAAAACCUGAACCCUAGGCUGCUCUCACUCAGGUUUAGGGUUUGAGUUUUUACUAUCUGGAUGACACCUAGGUUCUCCACAAAAUAAUGUAAAAAGCAUUCUCAGGUUGAUAACAAUACUGGUGCCCCCUAAUAUGAGUGACUAAAAGCCUUCUCUAGGAAGACCUAUUUUCAACCUAGGUUGCACAGGAGUCCUAUAGGUGUCACCCUAUCAGUGGCCUUUCUCUGGGCAGCACUAGUCAUCUUCUGUCUUCAGCUUCUUUCCUUGCUCUUAGAACCUCACUGCAAUCUGUCUGAAGGAGCAGUGGACUCCAGCUAGUGCCUCUGUCGGAGGUCAGAGCCCCAGAUCCAGGAAACCUGUCCUACAAGCUCCUGAUGUAUCAGGAAUGACUUGGCAGUGGCCCCACCUCAAGACAUGGGUCCCUACUCUAUGAGGCUCUCAUCUAACUUACAGUUCUGGAAACUCCAACCUCUUCCCUAAGAGUGGUAGUUGCUUCUUACUUAUCUCUGUUAUCUUAGUGCCUCUUUGCUUUUUAGCCUUUCAACAUCUGUAAUAAACUUCCCAUAUCAAAUUCCCUCUGUUAAAAUACCUAGUGUGGUGUCCAUUUUCUCGACCGGACCUCGAUGGAAAAGAAUGCAGUCCUCCAAGGGAGUGGCUCUGAGAUGGGGCCAGGGUGGGAAGAACUUAGAUUCAACUUCCCCUCCACCACCACUUAAAGUAUGAGGAGCUAGGAGCAAUACAGUGUUGACAGUCCCUAUCCUGGCAGGGGGCAGUUGGGAAAACACUGGAUUAGAAAAGAUGAAAGACAAUGGAGCUUCCCUAGGAGACUGAUUUUUGAAGGGCUUUUGAUCAUCCUCCACCCAGUGUCAAAGCCAGUCAUGAAUCCUCAGAACCAAGGAGGUCCUGGCAAGUUCUGUUGUGGUUACCCGUCGGACAUCCCUGUCUGGUCACCGGGGCUCCGAGGGGUGCCCUGCUCUCAGGAUGCUGGGAUAUGAGUGUCUAAAGUGGGCCUUUCACUCAUCAGUGAUUUUCCCAGGCUGUUACCUGUGUGUGAGUCUGAGAUACAGUGACCAGGCAGGUGACUUCAAAACUGUCCACAGAGACUGCCAGGGGCUUGUCAGGUGAAUGGAAAAUGAAAUAAAUAUAAGAACAUCGCCAAGGGUACGUUUACCUGUUUUUCAGUAAGGGAGUAAGACACCUUCAUGCCUGGCUGAACCACCAACUUCGCAGGCUUCGUGUAGACACUACAACUGUUUAUGUGUUUGGAUUUUCACUAAUUACUCCUCUCCAGUUUUUUCCCCUGGUGUCCCAGGUGUGUUGAUUUUAAUUGCUUCACUCAUUUAAGCAUCUCCCCAGACUGUAAUAGAUUAGUUAGCCGUCCAAGCCUGCUGCUGGCUUUCCCCUCUCCCCUUCUCAUUUGCUUCCAUACCCAAAAUAACCAGAAACAUUCAUUGCUCAGUAAUGAGGCUGCAAUUCUUCUCUGCGGAAUCCAGGAAGACAUAAAAGGCAGUCUCUAUGUUAACAUCAACUCCUGCUUUCCUCGUCUUUGUUCUAUUAUACGCUCUCUGCUGACUAACUUUAGAGAAGAAGCAAAUGUUACCCCACCUUACCAGAGCAUGAAGUUGUGUUACUGAGCAAUCUUAGGGCAAUUUACUAUGUAAGACACUCAAAACAAACCAAAAUAGACACAUACACACACACACACGCACAGAGUAGGUCAAAACAAAACAGUGUGGGCAUCCUUUCUAAUUUUUCAAACCUCACCUGCUGAAUAGCAUAUUUAAUAAAGCACAUACCACUUAUUUGAUCUGGCAGUACUUAACGCAAUAACUUACACACAAAGAAAGGCCCAAACAUUUAGCCACAGGAUGUCAUCAAAUAAGGGAAGAAGAAUCUGUGUGGAUUGAAAGGUUUUUCAUUUACUAAAGGCUUUACAAAGUAGUAAUAAAUUUGCUUUUCCAUAUUUUGUUACUUCUCUCCUACUCCUCACCAUGGAAUAUGUAGGCUAAUUCUAGGGGAAUGGGCACGGCUUUGACAUGGGUUAGUGGGAAUUUGAAAUUUUGGCAGGCAUGGCAAAUUUGAAUUUUGUUGGACAUUUGGAAUUGCCAGUCCUGGCUUGAUUGGUUUACUUUAAUAACAUUUAUUUUGACAGAUAGUGUGUUAGGUGCUGAGGACACAGAAAUUAGUAAGCUAUGCUUUUCUCUCCAAGAAGUCAUAAUCUGGGAACGGAGACAUAUACACGAAAAGACAUAUCCAAUAUGGUGUGGCAGUGUUGGGCAUAGGUGGAUGUAAGAGGAGAGGGCUCUCUACUCAUUUCCUAGGGCUGCUGUAUCACAUCACUACAAACCAAGUAGCAGAAAUGUAUGCUCUCAUAGUUCUGGAGACUGGAAGUUCAAAAUCAAGGUGUCAACAGGGCCACCUUUCCCCUGAAAUCUCUAAGGAAGCAUCCUUCCUCCAUCUUCUAGCCUCUGGUAGCUGCUGAGAAUCUCUGGCAUUCUUUGGCCUGUAGAUGCAUCACUCCAAUCUCUACCUUCAUCUUCAUAUGGCUUUCUCUUCUGUGUGUGUCCAAAUUUCCCCUUCCUUAGAAGGACACCAGUCGUACUGAAUUUGGUACCCACCCUAAUCCAGUAUGAUCUAAUCUUAACUUGAUUCGGUCUGAAAGUACUCAUUUCCAAAUAAGGUCACCUCCACAGUUUCCCGGUAGACAUUAAUUUGGGGGUGGGUGGGGGGACUAUUCAAAGCAGUAUAGGGCAUUGAGUUCAGAUGAGGGCAAGUCAGAAAGAUGAUCAAAGGAUGUUUCCUAGAAAAGAAGCUGAGCUGUAUCCUGAAGGUACUUACAGAAAGAGAACCGACAAGCCUGAAAUGACCCUUCUGUGAACAAGGUUUUACACUGGGAUUUGAAAUACCGGAAAAGUUGUGUCCCUAGAAAAGUAACUCUAGCCUUAACAUCAGCAAAAUGAGGAUUUAUUUUUAUUUUUAUUUAUUUUUGCAUUCAGAGAGGAAUGAUGAUGUCAUCCAUGUCCUUACACACAUCUUAAUUUGUGGAUUUUUUCUUACUUAACUCUCUUAAUUGGAUGAAAGUGGAAUAGUCUGACAUUAUACAGUUUGUUGAGGAAAAACAACUGUUUAAACUGAUUAAAAAAUUGUUUCCAUAUCAGGCUGGUAUUAGACUGUUUUCACACUGGUAUAAAGACAUACCUAAAACUGGGUGAUUUAUAAAGGAAAGAGGUUUAAUUGACUCACAGUUCUGCAUAGCUGGGGAGGCCUCAGGAAACUUACAGUCAUGGUGAAAAGUGAAGGGGAAGCAGGCAACUCUUCACCAGGUGGCAGGGAAGAAAGCAAGCACAGGGGAAAUUGCCACUUAUAAAACCAUCAGAUCUCAUGAGAACUUGCUCACUAUCAUGAGUAAACCAUGAGGGAAACCGCCCCCAUGAUCCAAUCAUCUCCCACCAGGUCUUUCCUUUGACAUUACAAUUCCAGAUGAGAUUUGGGUGGGGACACAGAGCCAAAUCAUAUCAAGCCUGUACUCCAGAUAUUUUUUUUAAAGCUGAAAGUCCCCAAAAGCUCAUCUCUGGAGCCUGAUCCUGGGCGUUCCUGAGCCACUGCAAAUAUCUUAGAGAGCCUUUCUGUGCUAGUGGCUCAGAUGACUCAUAUUGGGCAGUGAUUAGUUGAGAGCAUGGGCAGCAUUGGGAUCUCAUGCUGAUAGCAAGCACUGCUAGCAGUUGGUUACUUUGCCUCUUUGGCUUUUACCUGUGGGUUCAGGAUGGGGAUUAUGAAGGCUAUUAAAAGGGCUCCUUGACGGUCCCUUAGUCUUAAAACCUCCUGCAGGAGGAACUGCAGAUUCUCUCAGACUCUCAGAUAGGGAAACCCAAAAAGCCUUAUUAGCGAUUUAACCUUUGAGUAAAUUGCCUUAUCAGCUCUUCUUUGAGAAGACCCUCAACUAAGAGUAGUUCCACGCAUAACAAAGCUGUGAUGAGGUUAGCUGAGACAUAAGAGGGAUGAGAAGCGAGACCCAGUCUGGGUCACUGGGCCUCCCCAGAGGGGAAAGGCCUGACCCAGGGCAUCCACGAGCAGCAAAGGGAUACUUGGUGUCCAAGAAAGAACACCCAACCAGGAGAGAGAAGGGGGACCUGAAAGUAGGAAGGGGGAGGAGCUAAAGACGUACUUUGUCCACAUCACAAUUUUGCCUCUCUUUGGUUUGAGGUUAUCCAGUAUAGUCCUAUCUGACAUAAUUUUUGAAGUCGUUUCUCCAAGGAAUGUCUCUGAAUCAGCUUUAAGCUCUCUUUGGUCCUCCAAGGACACUAGAAGUCAGGCAGAGAUUCCUUAAGAUCCAGUGUAUAUAUCAACAGCCUCUGAUCUCCUAGUUAUCCUGUUUUUUUGAGAAGAGCUAAGAGGAAAAGGAAUAAGGGCCCCAAUUCCCACCAGGUGACACAGAUGACAUUUGACACCAGCACAUGACGCUUGCAUCACCCUCUGGGGGCCUCCCACAAUCCUGGGUCCUCAGCGAUUCUACGGACUCUGUGAUUCUAUGUACACAGAAUUCGAAUCUUAAGUAGAGUGUCCUUGUGAAACCCCUACAACUUUGAUUGAAAAUAUAUACUGAAUUAAAAUCUGUAUGGUAAUAAGUUUCUUUUUAGUGAACAGGAAACAUGCCAAAGUAUAUCUUAACAUUCAGUUGUAGAUAAUUAUGUGAGCUGAUUUUGUGUCAAUGAAUCUGAAGUUCUGAUUUGGUAUUAGAAAAUCAUACGACACCCCAAGCUUUCUCCUAGGAAGUUGUCUUUUCCAUUUUUAGCAUUUCAUUUGGUUGUCUGUCAUCACCUAUAACACACACGUGCAUACACAUACAAAUGCUGCUAUAAUUAACAUUUUGGGUUCCUUUAUCAUUUUUUAAACCUCAAACUUUUUGUUAUGUAAUGCACACUUAUUUGAAAACAUCUCCUGUUGAAAAUCACAGAGGUCACAGGUAGAAAUGCUGUAUAUCCAGCACUGCUGCAGAAUGCACAUUCUUUUCAUCAGCACAUGAAACAUUCUCCAGGAUAGACCAUAUCUUAGGCCACAAAACAAGUCUUAAUGUAUUUAAAAUAAUUAAAAUCAUAUCAAGUAUCUUUUCUGAGCACAAUGGAAUAAAACUAAAAAUCACUAACAAGAGGAACUCUUGAAACUCUUGAAUACAUGAAAACUUAACAACAUGCUCCUGAGUAAACAAUGGGUCAACAAAGAAAUUAAGAAGAAAAUUUAAAAGUUUCUUGAAACAGAAGAAAAUAAAAACGCAACAUAUCCGAAUUUAUGAGUUACAGCUACAGCCAAUCUAAGAAGGAAGUUUAUAGAAAUAAACACCUACUUUAUAAAAAUUGCAGAGCCCCAGGGCCUUGAGCAAACAUAGACAGUAGUCAUGGAGUGGUUAUAGCAGGCCUUGGGUGAGACCCAGCACUGUGGCCUCAUUAUGAGUUUAGUCAUAAUGGUUGUGGUCACAGGGGUACUCGUGUUACUCCACCCCCCAGCUUUAGGUGGCUCAGAACAGAGAGACUCUGUAUGUUUGGGAGUAAGUAAGGGGAAAGAACAAGAGUCUCUGCCUGGUAAUCCAGAUAAUUCUCCUGGAUCUUGUCCAAGACUAUCAAGGCAGUAUCUCUACGAGACUGCAAGAACCACAGCAUUACUGCGCUUGGGGUGCCCCUUAAAGCAAAAGCAGUUUAGAUCACAACACCCAAGUCCUUUCAAAUAUCUGGAAAGCCUUGCUACGAAAGACAGCUAUAAAUAAGCUCAGAUAGUAAAGACUACAAUAAAUACCUAACCCUUCAAUGCCCAGACACCAAAGAACAUCUUCUAGCAUCAACACCAUCCAAGAAAAUGUGACCUCACCAAAUGAUCUAAAUAAGGUACCAGGGACCGAUCCUGGAGAAACAGAGAUACGUGACCUUUCAGACAGAGAAUUCAAAUUAGCUGUGUUGAGAAAACACAAAGAAAUUCAAGAUAACACCAAAGGAAUUCAGAAUUCUAUCAGCUAAAUUGAAG